This 154-nucleotide ribosomal RNA is filed under the name Prunus salicina (Japanese plum). RNAcentral describes it as "5.8S ribosomal RNA". It matches the Rfam family "5.8S ribosomal RNA", at positions 17 to 154 of the family's 154-position model. From Rfam's summary of the family: 5.8S ribosomal RNA (5.8S rRNA) is a component of the large subunit of the eukaryotic ribosome. It is transcribed by RNA polymerase I as part of the 45S precursor that also contains 18S and 28S rRNA. Functionally, it is thought that 5.8S rRNA may be involved in ribosome translocation. The record is from RNAcentral. Lineage: Eukaryota; Viridiplantae; Streptophyta; Magnoliopsida; Rosales; Rosaceae.
UAUCUCGGCUCUCGCAUCGAUGAAGAACGUAGCGAAAUGCGAUACUUGGUGUGAAUUGCAGAAUCCCGUGAACCAUCGAGUCUUUGAACGCAAGUUGCGCCCGAAGCCAUUAGGCCGAGGGCACGCCUGCCUGGGCGUCACACGUCGUUGCCCC